This is a long non-coding RNA of Homalodisca vitripennis (glassy-winged sharpshooter), 173 nucleotides long. RefSeq lists it as uncharacterized. Lineage: Eukaryota; Metazoa; Arthropoda; Insecta; Hemiptera; Cicadellidae. The record is from RefSeq and is a predicted model, not a curated record. The transcript has 2 exons.
AAGAACUGAUUAAUCUCGAAACAUCGUAUUUUACGCGACGUGAAAUUGUGAAUGAAGAUUGACAUGUGUUCGUGAGCUACAUCUAACGCCGUACUAUCUAAGGUUACCUCAGCUAGUAUACUGUAGUUUAUCUUGGUUAAUUCUACUCCUGUGCCACGGAACCCCCCCCCCCC